GUCUAUGGCCAUACCACCCCGAACGUACUCUAUCUCAUCUGAUCUCGGAAGCUAAGCAGGGUCGGGCCUGGUUAGUACUUGGAUGAGAGUCCACCUUCGAAUACCAGGUGCUAUAGGCA
RNAcentral lists this ribosomal RNA (119 nucleotides) under Pteropus alecto (black flying fox). Lineage: Eukaryota; Metazoa; Chordata; Mammalia; Chiroptera; Pteropodidae. The record is from RNAcentral.